UACGGAGGGUGCAAGCGUUAAUCGGAAUCACUGGGCGUAAAGCGCAUGUAGGCUGUUUAGUAAGUCAGGGUGAAAUCCCACGGCUCAACCGUGGAACUGCCUUUGAUACUGCUAAACUUGAAUUCUGGAGAGGGUGGCGGAAUUCCAGGUGUAGCGGUGAAAUGCGUAGAUAUCGGGAGGAACACCGGUGGCGAAGGCGGCUUUCUGGCCAGUUACUGACGCUCAUGCGCGAAAGCUGGGGUAGCGAACCGGAUUAGAUACCCCGGUAGUCCCU
RNAcentral lists this ribosomal RNA (274 nucleotides) under uncultured prokaryote. RNAcentral describes it as "partial 16S ribosomal RNA". It matches the Rfam family "Bacterial small subunit ribosomal RNA", at positions 524 to 798 of the family's 1533-position model. The record is from RNAcentral.